Molecule: ribosomal RNA, 110 nt
Filed under: Candidatus Wildermuthbacteria bacterium RIFCSPHIGHO2_01_FULL_45_20
Lineage: Bacteria; Candidatus Wildermuthiibacteriota
Also listed under: 2 other names
Source: RNAcentral
GGUGGCGGCUAUACUGGAGUUGUCCCACCCGUUCCCAUUUCGAACACGGAAGUGAAAUGCUCCAAGGCCGAUGGUAGUCCUAAUAGGGCGAGAGUAGGUAGCCGCCACCG